UUUGAAUGGCCGCAGUAUUUUGACUGUGCAAAGGUAGCAUAAUCAUUAGUUUUUUAAUUGAAAGCUGGAAUGAAAGGUUUGAUGAGAAAAUAACUGUCUCUGUAUAAAUGUUUUAGAACUUCAAUUUUAAGUGAAAAAGCUUAAAUUUUCUAUAAAGACGAGAAGACCCUAUAGAGUUUUAUAUUUUAGUAAUUAUAAGAGCUUAGGAUUUUAUUUUAUUAUUAUUAUUAAUGUAUUUUGUUGGGGUGAUGGAAAAAUUGAAUUAACUUUUUUUUGUUUAUAACAUUGAUUUAUGAAUAUUUGAUCCUUAUUUUUGGAUUAUAAGAUUAAAUUACCUUAGGGAUAACAGCGUAAUUUUUUUUGGAGAGUUCUUAUCGAUAAAAAAGUUUGCGACCUCGAUGUUGGAUUAAAAUUAAAUUUUGGUGUAGAAGCUAAAAUUUUAGGUCUGUUCGACCUUUAGAAUUUU
Molecule: ribosomal RNA, 466 nt
Filed under: Pimelia rugosa
Lineage: Eukaryota; Metazoa; Arthropoda; Insecta; Coleoptera; Tenebrionidae
Description: partial large subunit ribosomal RNA
Rfam family: Bacterial large subunit ribosomal RNA
Source: RNAcentral